This 834-nucleotide ribosomal RNA is filed under the name Campylobacter sp. RNAcentral's name for it is "bacterial SSU rRNA". It matches the Rfam family "Bacterial small subunit ribosomal RNA", at positions 619 to 1455 of the family's 1533-position model. Lineage: Bacteria; Pseudomonadati; Campylobacterota; Epsilonproteobacteria; Campylobacterales; Campylobacteraceae. The record is from RNAcentral.
UUACUGCUUGGGAACUGAUAGUCUAGAGUGAGGGAGAGGCAGAUGGAAUUGGUGGUGUAGGGGUAAAAUCCGUAGAUAUCACCAAGAAUACCCAUUGCGAAGGCGAUCUGCUGGAACUCAACUGACGCUAAGGCGCGAAAGCGUGGGGAGCAAACAGGAUUAGAUACCCUGGUAGUCCACGCCCUAAACGAUGUACACUAGUUGUUGGGGUGCUAGUCAUCUCAGUAAUGCAGCUAACGCAUUAAGUGUACCGCCUGGGGAGUACGGUCGCAAGAUUAAAACUCAAAGGAAUAGACGGGGACCCGCACAAGCGGUGGAGCAUGUGGUUUAAUUCGAAGAUACGCGAAGAACCUUACCUGGGCUUGAUAUCCUAAGAACCUUUUAGAGAUAAGAGGGUGCUAGCUUGCUAGAACUUAGAGACAGGUGCUGCACGGCUGUCGUCAGCUCGUGUCGUGAGAUGUUGGGUUAAGUCCCGCAACGAGCGCAACCCACGUAUUUAGUUGCUAACGGUUCGGCCGAGCACUCUAAAUAGACUGCCUUCGUAAGGAGGAGGAAGGUGUGGACGACGUCAAGUCAUCAUGGCCCUUAUGCCCAGGGCGACACACGUGCUACAAUGGCAUAUACAAUGAGACGCAAUACCGCGAGGUGGAGCAAAUCUAUAAAAUAUGUCCCAGUUCGGAUUGUUCUCUGCAACUCGAGAGCAUGAAGCCGGAAUCGCUAGUAAUCGUAGAUCAGCCAUGCUACGGUGAAUACGUUCCCGGGUCUUGUACUCACCGCCCGUCACACCAUGGGAGUUGAUUUCACUCGAAGCCGGAAUACUAAACUAGUUUACCG